This 398-nucleotide ribosomal RNA is filed under the name uncultured microorganism. RNAcentral's name for it is "bacterial SSU rRNA". It matches the Rfam family "Archaeal small subunit ribosomal RNA", at positions 330 to 735 of the family's 1478-position model. The record is from RNAcentral.
GCGCACCAGGCGCGAAUCCUUCGCAAUGCGGGAACCGCGACGAGGGACUCCAGUGCCUACGCUCAGCGUAGGCUGUUCCCGAGCCUAGAAAGCUCGGGGAGUAAGGGCUGGUAAGACGGGUGCCAGCCGCCGCGGUAAUACCGCAGCCCGAGUGGUGGCCACUAUUAUUGGGCCUAAAGCGUCCGUAGCCGGCCCGGUAAAUGCCUGGGUAAAUCGUGAGGCCUAACCUCACGAAUUCCGGGUAGACUGCCGGGCUAGGGACCGGAGGAGGGAGAGGGUACUCCAGGGGUAGGGGUGAAAUCCUGUAAUCCCUGGAGGACCACCGGUGGCGAAGGCGCUCUCCUAGGACGGGUCCGACGGUGAGGGACGAAAGCCAGGGGAGCGAACCGGAUUAGAUA